This is a long non-coding RNA of Alligator sinensis (Chinese alligator), 255 nucleotides long. RefSeq lists it as uncharacterized. Lineage: Eukaryota; Metazoa; Chordata; Crocodylia; Alligatoridae. The transcript has 3 exons. The record is from RefSeq and is a predicted model, not a curated record.
GAAGACAUGGCUACAGCCCUUCCCUAGUCAAUACCAGAGAGAAGUGGUUUGUAAAUGUCAAGCACAGAUGAGCUAUAAGAUAAUGAACUUUGAUGAACCUGGACUCCAGAGGAGAGGGACAACCAGAUGACCCUAUCAAGUGAAACAGAAGUUGAGUUUGCCUACCUGAACACCAUCAAAAAAGACUGACAUUUACCAAAGUUCGUCGCUAUCCCAUUCCCAGCUGGCUGUAUCUGGGAUCCAGUGCUGUCCCAG